Molecule: ribosomal RNA, 603 nt
Filed under: uncultured Escherichia sp.
Lineage: Bacteria; Pseudomonadati; Pseudomonadota; Gammaproteobacteria; Enterobacterales; Enterobacteriaceae
Description: bacterial SSU rRNA
Rfam family: Bacterial small subunit ribosomal RNA
Source: RNAcentral
UAACACAUGCAAGUCGAACGGUAACAGGAAGCAGCUUGCUGCUUUGCUGACGAGUGGCGGACGGGUGAGUAAUGUCUGGGAAACUGCCUGAUGGAGGGGGAUAACUACUGGAAACGGUAGCUAAUACCGCAUAACGUCGCAAGACCAAAGAGGGGGACCUUCGGGCCUCUUGCCAUCGGAUGUGCCCAGAUGGGAUUAGCUAGUAGGUGGGGUAAAGGCUCACCUAGGCGACGAUCCCUAGCUGGUCUGAGAGGAUGACCAGCCACACUGGAACUGAGACACGGUCCAGACUCCUACGGGAGGCAGCAGUGGGGAAUAUUGCACAAUGGGCGCAAGCCUGAUGCAGCCAUGCCGCGUGUAUGAAGAAGGCCUUCGGGUUGUAAAGUACUUUCAGCGGGGAGGAAGGGAGUAAAGUUAAUACCUUUGCUCAUUGACGUUACCCGCAGAAGAAGCACCGGCUAACUCCGUGCCAGCAGCCGCGGUAAUACGGAGGGUGCAAGCGUUAAUCGGAAUUACUGGGCGUAAAGCGCACGCAGGCGGUUUGUUAAGUCAGAUGUGAAAUCCCCGGGCUCAACCUGGGAACUGCAUCUGAUACUGGCAAGC